UUGCGACCAUAUCCCGUUGAAACACCAGUUCUUGUAAAAUCACCAAAGUUAAGCAACGAUGAACCUGGACAGUACCUAGAUGGGUAAGCAUUUGGAAAUACUAGGUGCUGUAA
Molecule: non-coding RNA, 113 nt
Organism: Acanthosepion pharaonis
Lineage: Eukaryota; Metazoa; Mollusca; Cephalopoda; Sepiida; Sepiidae
Source: the annotation of a GenBank genome assembly